This 26332-nucleotide long non-coding RNA is filed under the name Ananas comosus (pineapple). RNAcentral's name for it is "long non-coding RNA (ACOM_LNC009740)". The record is from RNAcentral. Lineage: Eukaryota; Viridiplantae; Streptophyta; Magnoliopsida; Poales; Bromeliaceae.
UGGAUCCUUAGGAAAGGGGAGGAGAAUUCAUUGCUUUCUUCCUAACUCCUCUCUCUGAUUAGGGUUUUGAUUAAAAAACCUCUAAGAAAGAGAUUUGAACACAGGAUCCAAGAUCCAAAGUGCAUCACAGAAAGCCAUAGCCUUUUCUUUCAAUAGGUUCUUUUGGCUCGCUAUGAUGCAGACAUCUCUCUCUCUCUCUCUCUCUCUCUCUCUCUCUCUCUCUCUCUCUCUCCUUUUAACUUCUAGAGAGCUCCAUCACCUCCACUCAUCAUCUUUGGCCGACCCGACCAGAAUCUGGCCAAAUAGUGCCAAUCUCUUCAAUCUCUUCUUGUCCUUUACAUAGGUUUUCCUUAGUACUUUGGUAGUUUAUUCUCUCCAACUUUUGUUUCCUACAAUCACCAAGAUACUAUUGAAUUUUAUUGGAUUUUUGUGAUUUAAAACUUGUUAAGGCCUUUUGGGAGCCCGAUUAUUAUUAAUGGGCUUUGCUUGGAAAUCCAACUUAAGUUUCCAUAUGUGAGGUUAAGUCCCACAUUGAAAACUAAAAGUGUUGUUGGCAUAUAUAUAUAUAUAUUCCUUUAUUCUUAAGCAACUUGCUUGAGAGAAAAUAAAAGUUAUGCUCUCGUUUAAACAUACACGCACGAGCCAGGCCGGGCCGAGUGGGCGGCGGCAACGCGCGCAAUCCAUACACCCAAUUUAUUUAUUUUUUUUUAUUUUUUCGGUUUUAUUUUUAUCUUUAUCCUAAUCCUAAUCCUUAUCUGUAUAAUCAUAGGCUUAUCUUAUUCUACACGGAUUGAAGCAAGAAACUUGCCUUUGUUAUAAAUAUUGGAGGAGGUUGUUAGAUGUAUACCCUAGAAGCCAACCAGGCCGACACAUGUAUUCUUUCUAGGAUAUAAAUUUGUAUUUGACUUUAAAUUAUUAUGAAUAAAUUUGGGUUCUUAUUUCCAUUCAUGUUGUGUAUGUGACCAUGAAUCGUCCAAGGAAUUAAUAAGAUGAUGACAUAUAUUCUCAAAAGUUGAGAAUUUGAGACAUGUGUCAUUCGUGGUUAAUUCCUAAAUGCUCCCGAUCAAUGGAUAAUCACGGGGACGGUGAUUGAUCCGAUGAGAUUGGUACAUAGGUCGCUUCCUUUUUGGGUAGAUGGGUCUCGAGUCGACAGUGUGGGGACACUGAAGCGAAUAUGCAGGUGGUUGUUAAAGAACGAGGGUACCGAGCGUGACCAUCGUGAGAAGUCACUUGGAUGUCUACUCACUCGUCAGUGACUUACUCAAUGUUGCAGUAGUGUGACUGGUCUUUUGACUUGCGGUGCCUCGACUACUCACAAUGAGGUUACUGUAGUUUGACUGUACAUACACUUGGUCCCUAGUCAUUCGGGUCCUUGCGGUGCAUGUUGGCUGCAGUAGGUUCAUUGUAGGAAUAGGGUGUGCACUUAGAUGGUAUCUAUCUCCCUUGGUAGAUAGGGGUGUUAGUCCUAUAUGAUUUAUGAGACCGAGCUUAGAAGACCUUGGCCAGGGCAGAGAUAAUAGCGGAAAGGGAUUUCCGAUAUUAGAAACUCGAGUCGAAUAAAUUUAACAUAUGACAGACGAUGGGGUUUGACGAGUUAUUCCAUAACCUCCGUCUAGUCGGGACUCAUGAUAGAAGGAUUGUAUCACACGGUAACUGCACCAAGAGGUUCAGUAUUCCAUUCUACUGGAAUGCCACUACAUGCUGCUAGGCGUCACUGGUGGAUUGUGAGACUCAUGAGAAUUAUCUAGAUGAUCGAUAAUUCUCAUUGGGCUGAGUUGGAAUUGUUCUAAUCCAUUGAAAGGAGUUUCAGUGAUAUUGUUGAUAGUGAUCAAAAUAUAUCUCACUACCAGAUAGAAUAGAACCUAUGGGGUCACAUACAUAAGAGGUUGUGAUUUAUCGAAUAGCUAGAUCGCGAUUAUUGUAUCGUCGGAUGACCUAAUUGUCAAUAUGUUGAUAAUUGGACUAAUUUAUAAUUAUUACAAAUUAGUGGUAUUAAAGUGUAAAUGUUACAAGAGAGGACUUACUAAUAGUUAGUAAAUUAUAAGAGGACUUAUGUGCAAAUGUUGCAUUAUUAAUUUGAUAAGAUCAAAUUAAUAUAAAAUUCAAGUCGAAUCAAAUUAGGAUUUGAUCGAUCUAACCAAUUAAGGAAAUGAUAAAUUUAAAUCUAGAUUUAUACUUAUUCUUAAUUGUCAUUAUAUUAUUAGGAAUAGGAUUAUAUUCCUAUAUAUAAUAUACGGGAGUUUUUAGAAAACCCUAGCCGUCAUAUCUCUUCUCCUCUCUCCUCCAUCUUCUAGCAAGAAAGACAUCCUUUGCAAGGGAGCUAGCACCCUGGUGAGGAAAUCGAUCAAAUCAAGAACCUCGUGUGGAUACCUAUAGAGGCCGGACGCGUGUGCGGCUUCAAGAGAAUCCGAUUCCACGAUCAUCAAAGUUGAGGUGAAGAUCUAUCCGCGAAAAAGGUAAAGAUUCGAUCUUGCUUUUCUCCUUUAAUCUUAAAGAACAUGAGGGAUCCUAAUUGCGUGAUUUUUGAGAUUGGAUCUCGAGAGUUUUCAAAAUCAAAUUUGUUUGAUUUAUUUUUCCACUGCGUUUUACAGUACGCAAUUUUCUAACAGUUGCGUGAGUUCGAUAAGAACCGACGCAUACCUAAGAGAAAAACCUACCAUCUACCUCGUUUUUUCUGCUUUCCCGUCAUUAAUCUUUUUCGCCGACUUUCGCCGAGCUUUCGUUACUGGAUCUGAACCUUGUUGGAUUCAUCUUGCGCCACCUUGAAAGCAUGCCGACGGGGUGGAACGUGGUCGUUGUAUCGCUAGAAGUAAUUGCCGAAAAGCCUUGCACAUGAAUGGGCAAUUUCGCUUCUAGGACAGUGCUCUACACAUCUCGAUCAACAGACCUUAUCUAAACUUUUUCUUUACAGUAUUUGUUGUUUUUUUUCUUUCUCAGAAUUUUUUUAAACCUUAAAUUAAACUUUCAAAUUGUUUUACGAAAUAUUUUAAUAAAAGAUCAGAAAGAAUUUUCCAACAUAUACAUAGUUUUAUUUAUUUCAAUUCUAUUGAAGAUCCUAUUUGAGUUUCAAAAGUAUCUUCAUCAUGGCGUAUAGGAUGGGAUCAUCUAUUUCAGAACUAUUCUGAGCUUAGGUUGAUAUCCUCGUCAAGCUCAAGUGCAAUGGUCUUGGUUCUGGUCUUUCCACAAUGGUCGUCACCAGAGAAGGGCCCCACGUUCUACCUAUUAUAUGACCUUAACUUAGGACUUAAUUAAGCCCCCACGUUCUACCUAUUAUAUGACCUUAACUUAAGUUAGAACUUAUCUCAUAUCAAUUGAGACGAUCCGACUCACUAGCAAUACUAUAUGACCCUAAGACAAUCAAGACUUAUCUCAUACCAACUGUAACGAUCCAACCCUAAAACAAUCAAGACUUAUCUUAUACCAACUGUAACGAUCUGACUCAUUAACAAUAGUAACUCGUUAGGCCCAAAUUAUCGGCCUACAAAGCGUAAAGUUCGUAUUAUUAUUAUUAGAGUGUGUGACCUCUAAUAUUCUUAAACACAAUUUCUUUCUCAUUCGAUGUGAGAUUAUUGGAGUAUUACAUUACGAGAGUUUAUUCUUUCACGUUUGCUUGUCUUAACCUUUUUCUAUGUACUUUCUUUACAGCUUCUUGGACUUUUAUGCCAUGAGCUUGAUUAUUUAUUAAUUUAGGUAUUUAGGAUGGAGAAGUAAUCUAUAUCUUCCUCACCUUUCUUUUUCAGAGGCCGUCUAUUCUGUCUUAUCCUUAAUCACGUUAUAGUUUUAUUUAUUUCUCCUUUUUAAAUUAUUUUUAUGGUAUUCAAGUUUUACUUGUAAUGAAAUUUCUACAAACCUUUCUUAAACAAAUAUUUAGUUUUCUUAAAAAUAAUAAAGUGAGAAUUUUUUUCAUAGAAAAUAGCCAACAUGCACCGUCCUCACACACACACACACACACACACACACACACAUAUAUAUAUAUAUAUAGAGAGAGAGAGAGAGAGAGAGAGAGAGAGAGAGAUUUGGCAAGGCAGGCUAAGUCAUGGUCAUUGGACAAUGAUAGGAAUUUGACUCACUCUCAUCAUGAUUAUUGUUUGUUAAAUAAUUACUCCUACUCUAAAUUGAAUACAUCCAUCAAAGUUGGUUACAUUAUUUGCAUAUUCAUUGGUUAUCUGCUAUUGAGACAUGCACUUAUGUCACCAUCUAAAAAGCUAUGCAAGUUUAUUUCUUGGACCCCCUACUCUCUAAAAAAGAGUAGCAAUUAAUGUUGCUUUAUAUUCUCAGUUGAGCUCCUAUGCUUUUAAAAAUACCAGAGCAUUUGUAUUUGUGAUUUUUUAGCCAUCUAAUUAUUUUAAGAUCCAUACAGCACUACUAACAAUAUAUUUCAUUAAGUCUUCUUUAUUAGUGUUGUACAGAUUUUGAGGCGAUCUGACGGCUAAAAAAUUACACUUGUACUUUUAAAAACAUAUAUUGGAGCUCAAGUCUUAUACUCUAAGACAAGCAAAUAUAAUCUUUAUUAUAUUCUCCGCUAUUGUGCUUUUUUAGGUUAAAAGGAUGGAGAUUCACUCAACCAAAAGCCAUUCUUAUUUAGGCUUUUAUUAAAAUUUAGUCGGUUAAGUUAUAGAUUUCAUUAAAAUAAACUUCUAUCUAUUUUGAUUUGAAUCAUUAGCUAUAUAUUUAUCAUUAACUAGUUUGACAAAAAACUAAUUAGAGCCAUAAAAUUUGGCAAAAUUACUGAUUAAUUUGAGGAACUAACUCAGUUUACUACAAUUAAUACUCAACCCAGUGAGAGUUGAGGCAUAUCAAUAAUAUAUAUAUAUAUAUAUAUAUAUAUAUAUAUAUAUAUAUAUAUAUAUAUAUAUAUAUAUAUAUAUAGAGGUUUGGACCUGGGCUACUAUAUAGCAAAAUUCCAUUGUUGCUACCAGUAUUUUACCUUUGGAUCAACUCAUUUCAUUAUUUUAACCAUUGGAUUAAAUACAUAACCCAGUGGGACCACUCAACCCUAGGGGGACCACUCAACAAUAACGACUAAUAUCAUCCUGACCUACAAAUUUCAUCCAGGGUUAAAAACUUGAUAGCAAAAAGAACGUACUAUUACAUAGUAUUCCAGCCUAAUUCUAAAUAUAUAAUAUAUAAUAUAUAAUAUUACAUAUAUAUAUAUAAUAAUAUACAUAUAUAUAUAUAUAUCAUAACAUAUAUAUAUAUACAUAUAUAUAUAUAAUAUAUAUAUAUAUAUAUAUAUAUAUAUAUAUAUAGAGUGCGGCUAGGAUGCUUAUGGAAGCACGGAGGGCUCCGUGCUUCCACUUUGUUUUCGAUGUUUGGACUUUCGAAUCGACGAUCGGCUCCGUUAGACUUGAUCUAGAGUAUUUGAAGUAUCUAGAAAAUAAAUUUUGCGAUUUUUCGAUAUCCUUUGACUAGUGAUCGAAGUGGCUCAAAAUUAAUAAUUUUAAUGGCCGUGGUAAGCCGGUUGCAAGUUUAACGGUGUAGAAAUAUCCAAAUCACAUGAAAUUUUGAUAAAAAAUUCUUUAUACCAUAUAAAACAAGAUCAAUAACUUUGAUCUAAAAUUUUAAUGUCAUAUCAUCAUAUUGAUGGUAUGACACUAAAAUCUCGACUCUCAAUAUAUAUGAGGGUCAGCAUUGAAUAAGAAGUGCCAAGAAGCUACUCUAUAACAUCUUAAGCUUUCCCAAAAAAAAAAAAAAAAGGAAAAAAGAAAAAACCAUUGUUUCACAAGCUAUUUCUCUAUCGAAAAGUAGAGCUUAUUAUAUACAAAAUAAUAAUAAAAUACCUUACCUAAACCAUACUACAUAACAUAUGCCAACUUCAUUAGAUUGGAUGAUACACUCAAAACUCUCUUUAUCAUUCAUUAAAUUGAAUUAUAGAUUUGAAAGAAGAGUCCUUCUCCUUUGCAAUUAGGAAAAGAAAUUAAAUAACAAUAGCAAUAAUUAAAAUGCUCAUGGAAAUCUCUAUUGUCAUCUAGGACAACAAAUAUGUAUGGUUUAUCACCUAACACUAAUUAUUUUUGCAAUGGUUCGUACAUUGUGUCGUUUUGUGAUUGGCCAACUAAUUUUGUUACUCAUAUAAAUAGCACAUUUUUGAACUUUUAAUUAGAAAUUUAUUAGUGCUAAAUGUGCGUAAUAUGAUUGGUUCACCCUCAUCUCCUAAGAUGAGAUUGGAUUCCACUCAAUUAGUGGUAUUUUAGUGCUAAAAUCUUACUUUAUAUAUUAGGUUUUCACAAAAGUUUCAAUUUUGUGCUCAUUUUGCAAAGAAGUUGAUUAGUGAUUAUGAUCCAUGCAUCAUAAGGUCAAAUCAAUUAAGAGAUUGUUUAUGUACUCCACUCUAACUCAUACUUUUAGGGCACACAAUUAUAUAAUGGCAAACUUAUUGAUAGGAGUAGUGCACAAUUAUAAUUUUUUAUUUUAGCUUUUUUUUUAAACAAAUUUCAUGUAUUUGCCUUUUGGCUUGCGAAUGCAACAUAGAAGUAGUAAAAUUUAUAUUUUUCUUUAAGAACUAUCAAAGUAUAGUGUUUCUCCAACAAAUGAAAUAUAAGAAACCUAUUGGUUGUUGCUCUCAUGAGAGGUUGCUAUUUUGAAUUCAAUAAUACAGUAUAAUUGGUCCUUUUCAUCUACACUCCUUUUGAAGUCACCAUAGAUCAAUAAUCAUGAGACUCUUUAUAAAAAAUGCACUAACUUUACAAUAUAUAUGCAUGUGUGUUCAAAUGCCUGAACCUCUUGUCCAGUAUAUCUUUUUUUCUUCUAUUUCCAAAUAAUAUUUGAUGGAUUGAGGGAGUGCCAUGAGAAAAUGCUCACGGAUAAGGAGGAAUUACAAAGGAUUAAGUAAUGUUAGUUCAAUGAUAAUAUGUGACACCCUAAUAGUCCUAUAUCGGAUAGUUAUGACUAGAAUAGUGUCACAGACUCCCCCCGUUUAAGCCCUGACGUCCUCGUCAGCCCUAAACACACACAUGGCCCAAGAUCUCUCCCCGUUUAGCCCUGGCGUCCUCGUCAGCCCUAAACACACACAUGGCCCAAAUCUCUCCCCCGUUUAGGCCCUGACAUCCUCGUCAGCCCUAAACACACACACGACCCAAGAUCAUCAGGCGAUGUGAGACUCGUCUCGUUAGCUUUUGUCUUAGUCCAUCAUUUCUCUCACACUUCCGACUGGUGAACUGGCUCUGAUACCAAAUAUAAUGAACCGAUCCGCUAGCAAUAAUAACUCGUUGGGCCCAACCACCGGCCCAAAAUACUUAAACCCAAUUAUUAUGUCUAACCUAUUCAAGUUUAUAUACCUUAAUUAAUGAGUUAUUAUUGUUAGCGGGUCGAAUCGUUACAUAAUUGUUAAUGAUUAGCCAACUCCUAUCCUGCAUAUAUUUACUUGAAUAUAUUGGGAUUUUCUAAGUUGUAAAGCAUUGAUUCUUGUCACUAACCUUUUUUUGGUUGGUUUUUGAGUGCGAAUGAUAAAUUGGUGAUAAUGUUAUUUUACAGUGGUGUAGUACAAUAAUUGAUAAGCAAUGUAAGAAUAAUGUAACACUAGUGAACGUGCGAGGGAAGUGUAAUGGAAGAUUACCUAAAAAGGCAAGUGAUCCUAUAUUCUCCUCCUUAGAACUUAGAUGACAAAUUAAUACAUUAACAUGCAUGUUACCUAACAUAACUAUUUUCUCAAUUAAAAAAGUGGCAUCAAUAUAUAAUAACAACAUAUUCGCAAACAAGAGUGAUUCAAAUGAAAAACAUGUCUAUUAUUUUCAAAAAGAAAAAAGAAUAGUCAAUUUUAUUGAAGCAUCAAAUGAAACUGCAUUGAGCCAGUUCAACCAACCUAUUAAAUUAAGAUCAAAUCAAGAUAAAAACUAAAACCCAACUGCAUCAAACAUAACUUGAUAUUUUGUAAAUUAGUUUCCUAUUCUUGAGAGUAUCUGAUUAUAACCUCGUCUACAAUAUAGGAUUGAGAAGCGCUUAUUUAGUUGUGUAAGUAUUUCAAAAGGAUGUUAAUAAAGUAUCACUACAACAAAAACGGUCUAUAGCGACACUUUUAAAUACAGGUACAUGUUAAAAAAGUGCUGCUAGCUAAAAUUACCAACACUUUUAAAAAGUGUUGCUAUAUGUGGGGUCACUAGGUAUAUAGUGACAGUUAAAGAGUGUCGCUAUAACCUAAAAAAGUGCUGCUAAUUUACCAACACUUAUUUAAGCAUUUAGCAACCGUCGAAACUCUAUCUCGUUGGCUGCGGUGGCGGAGGAGGACAACAGGAAAGGAUCUUCGUCUAGAAUUUCAGUGGAUUCAGUGAAGAGAGAAGAAAAGAUGGUAAUUGAGUUUUCUUUUUUUUUCUUUUCUGUUUGUAAUCGGGUCAAAUGGACUGGGUGUGGUGGGUUGAGUAGAGUAAUCUUUUAUUUUUGGUUGGAUUGGGCUUUAUAUUUAGGCAUAAGUAGAAGUUUUUUUUAGUUUUAGCAUAAAUUGGACACUUACUCAAAAGUGUUCCUAUCAUGUGCCCCUAUAACCUAAUUCUGUUGUAGUGUGUGGUCUUCUAAUUUCUUUAAGUUUUCACAAUACUCUAUUCUAAAGUUUAAGUCUAUAUGAAUGUAGGCCAAGAUCAUUAUUUGGAAUUAAAGGCUCCAUAUUCAGUAUCAACAUUUUCUUUUUGAAAAAGAUAUUGUCCUCUAUCAAGUUGGCAACUUUUACAUGAAUGCUUUGCUAGCUCAUUCUCCACCCAUGUGAACCACCCUCUCUCUCUCUCUCUCUCUCUCUCUCUCUCUCUCUACCACAUAUCUUAUAUACUAUGUAUAUAUACAGCCUAGUUUGUGAACAAACUUCUCGACUUAAUUUGUACAACCCUACGAAAAAAAUAAUUAAUUAUGCAAAAAAUAUUUUAUUCAGCCCAAACAAGCACUCAGUAUCUUCUAUAACUAAAAAAGAUUGUACAUGUUUUUUUAUCAUAAUCAGAUUACUGAACGAAAGGAUACAAAAUGUUUUUAUUAAUUCGAUUUAGUUAGGCAAAAAGAUUAAUAACUGACAAAAAUUAGCUAAACUAAAAUUAUUAAAAUAAAAUGAGGAGCGAAAAGAAGGUACGUACGCACUAUCCUUGAAUCAUCUUCGUACUAUCUCCACACCUAACACAUGCAAUGCCUGUGAGAACAUAUAUAUAUAUAUAUAUAGUACUGUUGUAUAUUAUUAAGAUUCUUACGUGGAAUCCAAUACCUAUCCUUCAAAAUAAAGUUAGUUGUCUCCACUUUUUUAUUCUGUACAAAGCCUUUUAAAUAUAAUAAUAAUACAUAUUUAAUGAUCAAUACAAUCUGAAAUGAUAUAUAUAUAUAUAUAUUUAUAAUUGAGUUAGAAUGCUUUUACAAGUAUUACCUCUAUGGUGCUAUUAGGUUUUUAGCUGUUGGAUCUACUUCUUAAUUAUUAAUAGCUCUUGGAUCGAACACUACUUCUUAAUUAUAUAUAUGAGUACGUCUUCCAUACUUUCGAAAGUACGGAGAUCUCCGUGCUUGUAAAUUAUUUUUGAUAAUAAGACAUCCGAUUCGACGAUCGGCUGCAUUAAAUAUAAGUUACCCUAUUGGAACUGUUUAGAAACCAAAAUUUAUAAUUUUUUAACAUCAUUUACCAAGCGAUCAAAAGGACUCAAAAAUGAUUUUUUUAAUGGCCGCGUUAUGACACGUUUUUAAGUUCAACGGUGUAGAAGUAUCCAAAUUACAUAAAAAUUUAAUAGAAAAUUCUACAUAACAUUAAUAACAAGAUCAAUACUUCCGAUUUAAAAUUUGAGUCAUUUAUCACUAUUUUUUAUGAGAUUUUCAUUUUCAGCCGUUCAUUUUGAGCCUACUCGUUCACUAAACAAACGAAGUCAGAAAAUUAUGAAAUUUAGUUUUUAGAUAGUUACAAUAGCGUAGAUCAUGUUUAACGGAACUGAUCGCCGAAUCGGAUGUCCCAUCAUCAAAAACAACUUACAAGCACGGAGGCCUCCGUACUUUCAAAAACAUAGAAGCCUAGCUAUAUAUAUAUAUAUAUAUAUAUAAAAUUGAGCUCCUAUGCUUUUAAAAGUACAAAGUUAUUGGUGCUUGUAGAUUUUUGGCCAUUGGAUUGAGGGAUGUGCGGUUAUAAUGAUGUGGGCCCCCUAGGGUUGAGUGUUUGUUGAAUAGUAUAAUCUAACGGUUGAAAAUGAUCAAAGGCGUAGAUCUAACGGUAAAAAUUUACAAGCAUAAAGUGCUUGGUGUUUUUACACGCACCAUACCCGGACUCUAUAUAUAUAUAUAUACACCGUUAAACUACCAAGUAUUUCAUGCCGGCCGUUAAAAAUUGUCAAUUUUGUGAGCUGUUGAUCGUAAGGUAAAUGAUGUCGAAAAAUUAUAAAAUUUGAUUUCUAGAAGUUUUAAAUGCUCUAGAUAAUGUUUAAUGGUGUGGAUCAUCAAUUCAGAAGCUCUAUUAUCGAAAACAACUUAUGAGUACGAGGGCGAUCAUACUCAUAAUAGUAUAGUAGCCGGACUCAUAUAUUAGUAAGGCUACUAUACUCUUAUGAGUAUUGGACCCUUCAUACUCAUAAGUUGUUUUCGAUGAUGGGGUUUCCGAAUCGACGAUCCACUCUAUUAAAUAUGAUCUAGAGUAUUUGAAACUUCUAAAAAAUAAAUUUCGUAAUUUUUCGAAAGCAUAAUAAAGUCCAUCAAACGGGCAUAAAAUAAACGGUCAAAAUCGAACGACGUUCUAAACAUGGAUAAUCGGAUUCUUCAAUUUAAGAUCGAAUUUAUUGAUCUUUAUCUAGAUAGUGAAUAGAAUUUUCUAACAAAAAUUCAGCCUAUUCCAAUUCUUUUACACCGUUAAACUACCAAGUAUCCCAUACCGGCCGUUAAAAAUUGUCAAUUUUGUGUGCUUUUGAUCGUAAGGUAAAUGAUGUUGAAAAAUUAUGAAAUUUGAUUUCUAAAAAUUUUAUAUGCUCUAGAUAAUAUUUAACGGUGUGGAUCGUCAAUUCGGAAGCUCUAUCAUCGAAAACAACUUAUGAGUACGAGGGCGAUCGUACUCAUAAUAGUAUAGUAGCCGGACUCUCUCUCUCUCUCUCUCUAUAUAUAUAUAUAUAGAAUUAGGCUACUAUACUAUCUAUAGUACCGGAGCUCCGGUACUAUAGUCUUGUUUUCGAUCUUAAGGUGUUCAAAUUAACUAUCCACACCGUUAAAUAUGAUUUAGGGUAUAUGAAGUUCUUAGGAAUAAAAUUUUAGUUUUCUUCAACAUCGUUUAUUUAGUAAAUAAAUUAUGUCAAAAUGGAUGGCGAAAAUUGAAUAAUUUUUUAAAUUUGAGCAUAGAACUUUUAAAUUCAAGAUCAAGAAUGUUAACCUUAAUCUAGAUUGUUUAAAGUAUUUUCUAUCAAAAUUUGAAGAAAUUUAGAUUCUUCUACACCGUUAAACUCCAAACUCGCUAUAGUAGUCAUUAAAAAUUGACAAUUUUGAAAUGGUUUGAUCAUAAAGUAAACUAUAUCGAAAAAAUAUAAAAUUUUAUUUCUAAAAACUUUAAAUACUCUAGAUCAGUUUUAACGGUGUGGAUCGUUGAUUUGAACACCUUAAGAUCGAAAACAAGAAAAUAGUACCGGAGUCCCGGUACUAUAGAUAGUAUAGGAGACCAGCUCUAUAUAUAUAUAUAUAUAUAUAUAUAAUUGAGCUCCUAUGCUUUUAAAAGUAUCAAGUCAUUUGUGCUUAUAAGUUUUUAGCCCUUGGAUUAAUAAAUGUGCGGUUAGGAUGAUGUGGGCCCCCUUGGGUUGAGUGGAUGGUUGAUUGAAUAGUAUAAUCUAACGGGUGAAAAUGAUCAAAGGCGUAGAUCUAACGGUACAAAAUUCACAAGCACCAAGUGCUUGGUACUUUUACAAGCACCGUAGCCGGACUAUAUAUAUAUAUAUAGUUGAGCUAGAAUACUAUUGGUAGCAAGCGAGCUCCAUUGCCACCCAUUUAUUUUCGAUGAUGGAGCCUCCAAAUCGGCGAUCGACACCGUUGAAUAUAAUCUAUAGCAUUUGAAGUAUCUAGAAACCAAAUUUCAAAUCUUUUCGACAUUAUUAACCUAAUGAUCAAAGGGUUUCAAAAUUUAUAAUUUUAAUGGUUGCUAUGAGGUAUUUUCUCGUUUAACGGUGUAAAGAUAUUCAAAUCAAUUGAAUUUUAGUUAGAAAAUUCUUUAAACUAUUUAGAACAAGAUCUAUACUCUCGAUCUUGAUUAUAAGAUUCCUAUCAUCAAUUUUUAAAGAAUAUUCAUUUUCAGCCGUUCAUUUUGUGUCCACUUGAUGGACAAGAGAACAAUAUCGGAAAAGUAUGAAUUUGAUUUCUAGAUGCUUCAAGUGGUAUAAGUCAUGUUCAAUGAUGCCGAUCGUCGAUUCGGAGGCUCCAUCAUCGAAAACAAAUGGGUGGCAACGAAGCUCGUUUGCUAUCGAUAGCAUUCUACCUCAACUAUAUAUAUAUAGCAGGACUGCUGUGCUCUCAGGAGUACGGAGUCCUCCGCGCUCCUGAGCCGUUUUCGAUGAUGAAAUUUUCAAAUCGACGAUCGGGUUUGCUAGACUUAAUCUAGCGUAUUUGAAGUUUCUAGAAAAUAAUUUCUGCGAUUUUUUGAUAUCAUUUACCUAGCAAUCAAAGAAUUCAAAAUCAAUAUUUUUUAAUGGUUGAUAUCUGCCGUUUUCAAAUUUAACGGUAUAGAAGUAUUCAAAUCAGAUGAAAUUUUAAUACAAAAUUUUUUAUACUAUCUAUAACAAGAUCAAUAUUUCUGAUCGGAAAUUUUAGUGCUGUAUCACCACUUUUUAUAGAAUUUUUAUUUUCAACCGUUAAAAAUUAUUGAUUUUGAAUCUUUUUGAUUGCUAGAUAAAUGAUAUUGAAAAAUCGCAAAAAUUAUUUUCUAGAAACUUCAAAUACGCUAGAUUAAGUCUAACGGAACCGAUCGUCGAUUCGAAAAUUUCAUUAUCAAAAACGGCACAAGAGCACGGAAGUCUCCGUGCUCCUGAGAGCACAGCAGUCCUACUCUAUAUAUAUAUUGAUUAGAAAAGAACUUAUACAUCUCAUACCCAACUUUGCAGCUGAAGUCUGCUGCACCUAGUUCUGGAGAAAGAACAAAAAUAUUUUAAAUAAGAUUUCUAUUCUUUCCAAAGAUAUCGAACCGACAAGCUCCAUUUUCGAAUCAUGCAGCAUAUAUACUUGAGCAUCUGACCAUAGCAAAAACGAUGAACUUGUGCUCAAAAAUAUUACAAAAAUUCUGAUAAAGGCUUAAGAAAAAGGCUUAACGUUGGCAAUAAAUUCUACAACUUAAUUUCAAUUAAGAUGAUUUUACAUCUUUCCUCAAUCACUCUCUGCAAGCAAAAUAUCCAUUGUGCAUGCAUUUUUUGGUAUUUUUUACGUGAGACCCUGAUAAUCUUAUAUAUAAGAUAUAAUAGAGCUAAAACUUUUAAUUCGGUUUAAAUAUUUUGGAUGGUGGAUAGACCCAAAGUGUUAAAAGAGUUAAGCAUGCUAGGACGGGAGUAGUCCUAGAAUAGAUAACCUCCUGGUAAGUGGGGCGUCACAUUUUAUAUGCUACAUUGCUAUCUAGAAAUUAUAGAAAAAAGAUACUUCUAAUAAAACAUAUAUAAAAAGGCUUUUUUCUGCAUUUGAUCCUCUCAAAAAAAUUAUUUUCACAAAUAGCCCCAUCAAAUUUUAUAAUCGCUAUUUUAGCCCUAUCCCUACCACGAGCAAGAAUGGUGGAUGUGGAAUUAUUUGAACACGAUAAAUAAUUCACCAUGUCUAGUGUAUUAUAUUACUUGCGCGCGGGGUCAAUAUAUUCACUGAACAUAGUGAACCAUUCAAAUUAUUUAGACUCGGUGAAUGAAUUAUCAUGUUCAACUUAUUCCACAUCCCCACCCCUGCUCACAUGGCGCUGACGUAACUGCGUGGCGGGGAUAUGACCAAAAUUGUAAUUAUAAAAUUAGUAGGGCUAUUUGUAAAAAAAAGCCUUUUUGAGGGUGCCAAAUGCAAAAAAAAAAAAAAAAAAAAAAAAAAAAAAAAAAAAAAACCCUAUAUAAAACAUGUUUUUAAAGUAAAAAACAUAUAUAUAGUACAUGAAUGUUGCAUGACACAAUUAAUAGUUAGGUAUAUUAGGAGGCCUAAUGAGACAAUUUGCAAAGUAAGUUACUUUGUAAAAAAACUUUUGUUUAAAUUAAUGUAAUAACGUACCAGUUAUGGAACAAUAAACAUUUUUUACACCUCCACUUUGCGGUCAACGUGCAAGAAAUUAAUGGAAAGGUAUCUUAAUUAAUUAUUGGAUGAGUUAAAAUUUUGUUUUACAUGGCCAAAAAAAAAGAAAAAAAAUAGUCGCUUUCUUAACUAUAUCUAAUUGCGUACGUAUGUGUUUGAGUUAUAUAAAUUGUUCUUCCAUUUAGAUUAAGAAUGAAUACGUACACCUUAUCCUUCAUUAUCACACUUUCGGUACAACUCAUCCUUCUUAAUUUAAACCAUGAAAUUAAUCUUAUGAUGAAGCAACCCUCCGUGAAUAAAUAAGUCACUAAUUCUUGAGUGCAUGGUUUAGUCAAAAUCAUUUCCAAAUGGCUAUAAUAGAAAGAGCCACCUUAAAAAUAAAUAAAUAAAUCAUCAUGGUUGAGUUACAACUCACAAAUAAUAAUUGCGUUGGGCAUCUUGGUUGAGUUACAACUCAAAAAAAAUAAAGUAAAAUAAAAUAAAACAAUCAUGUUGAAUGUCUCGAUUGAGUAACAACUCUAAAAUAACAACAUAGAGUCGGUGAUCUUCGUUACCAUUUUUUUAAGGUUAUAAAGAGCAAUAACAUUAUAUGUUAAUUGCGUGCGUUGGGUGUAUUGGUUGAGUUACAACUCAAAAAAAAAGAAAUAAAACAAUCAUGUUGGAUUUCUUGAUUGAGUAACAACUCAAAAGUAACAACAUAAAGUCGAUGAUCUUGAUUAAACAUUUUUUUUUUAAGGUUAUAAAUUAAUUAAGAGCAACAAAAUUGUAUGUUUACUCCUACAAAGUUUUAGUUAUCAAAUUUAUUACUCCAAGAUAGCAUAGUUUGCAAAUAUAUCCCUCUAUACUAGUAAACCAAUUAAAGUUGACUUUUUUAAAGGCUAAAUUACAGCAAACCUUCCUGUCAAAACUCAAUUUUUCACUUUUUUUAUCAUGUCAUUUAAAAGCAUAUAUACUUUGCCCCUUUAUAAAAUAAAAAAUGUUCACUUCACCUCUCUGCCGUCAGUGAUCCGUUAAAGUUUCGUUAUAAAAUAUUUUUUAUGCCAAAAAUAUCCUCUGCCCUCUUUACUGUGCUUUGCUCUCCUCCGCCUCGCCGCCUCGCCCUCCUCCACUGCCUCGGCCUCGCACACAUCCCCGUCCGUACCCACAACGAUUUCCUCCCUACUGUCGCCAAAAUGGAGAGGCGAUAAGGGUGCGGAAGGAGAAGAGAAGCAGGUGGAGAAAAAAAUGGAGACGAACCGCGGCCGAUCGAGGCAGCGGAUGAGCAAGAUGAGGGAGGAGACGAAAAUGGUGAAGGAAAAAAUGGUCAUUUUGUCAUCACAGCUCACACCAUACCUCUCGUGAACAUUUUUUUAUUUUACAAGGAGACAAAGUGUAGGUUUUUAAAUGACAGGGAGGAAAGUGAAAAAUUGGAUUUUAACAGGAGGAUUUUAUAUAAUUUAACCUUUUUAGAAUACAAAGUAACGAUUUCAUCCUUAAAUAAAUAUCUUUUUAAUUAUAUUUGAAAUUAUGUGUCAAUUUCAAUAUUUUUAUUCUAACUUUUAUGUCACUCAAUGUAAAUCAUAAACUAUAGUUCUACAAAAGUGUUUAAAGCGGUUGUCUUUUUAUAAGGGAUAACGUUUCAAAUGGUGAAAAUAACGUUUCAAACGGUGAAAAACAAUCGGUGGUAUUUAAUAUGUAAAAAUAAAUUUAUAUAUUUUGAAGCUUUAAAGAGAGAUACAUUUGAUAAUUAAAACUUUACAAUAACUUAUCUCCAANAUAUAUAUAUAUAUAUAUAUAUAUAUAUAUAUAUAUAUAUAUAUAUAUAUAUAUAUAUAUAUAUAUAUAGACCGGCUGAGAUGCUUCUAAUAGCACCAAGUACUUGGUGAUGCUAAGUUUUCCACCGUUAGAUUUAUCAUUUUGAUUAUUUUUAACCGUUAAAUCAUAUUAUUCAACCAAUCACCCACUCAACUCUAAUGAACUAUUAUUUUUCUAACUAGAGACUCCUAUCAUCCUAACUGCAUAUCCCUUCAUCUAGCGAUCGAAAUUUUAUGAAUACAAAUGAGUAUAUGCUUAUAAGAGUAUAGUAACCUUACUCUAUAUAUAUAUAACCUUGCAAAAACAAAAAUAAAAAAGCUAAAUUACAGAAAACCCUCUUGUCAAAAUCCGAUUUUUCACUUUCCCUUCCUGUCAUUUAAAAACCUACACUUUACCCCUUGUAAAAUAAAAAAUAUUCACAGAGGGAGUACGAUGUGAACUGCAAUGAUAAAAUAACUAUUUUGCCCCUUACUAUAUUCACAGGAGAGAAGGCUGAGGGUAUUUUUAGCAUAAAAAAAUAUAUAAUAAUAUUUUAUAAACGAAAUCCUAACAGAUUACUAACUGCAGGGGGCGAAGUGAAUAUUUUUUAUUUUACAAGAGGGCAAAGUGUAGGUUUUUAAAUGACAGAAGGCAUAAGUAAAUUUUGACAGGGGGUUUUAUGUAAUUUAGUCAAAUAAAAACAUAUAGAUGCCCUAGUGUGAAUGGUGUGAGGACAAAAAAGUAAGGGACUAAAAAGCAAAGAUAGAAAGCCUAUAAAUAUACAUAAAGCUAUCCUGGUCACAUGGAUUGGUGUUCUUCUCCUAAUAAAAAAGUUACUUGAUAAAGUUUAAACCUUAUUAAUUUAUUUAGAAUAAUAAUAUAGAAGUAAUGCUUUAUUAGGAAGGACAUAGCUUUACGAAGGACUAAAUGUCAUUGUCUUUAGCUAUCGCCACGGUGCACUUGUUCAUAUUUGCUUGUUGUUUUUCAUGCGAUCUUAUUUUGAGAGAUAAUAAUAAUAAUAAUAAUAAUAAUAAUAAUAAUAAAAUCAUAAAAUCGUGUAAUUUGAUUUUUAGAAAGUUCGAAACAAUCUAGAUAAUAUUUGAUGGAAUCGAUCGUCAAUUUAGAUGCUCCUUUUAAAAAAAAAAAAAUGAAAGUAAAUUAACAUGCUUACUCCUAGAAGCAUUUUUAUGCCUAAUGAUACAUCUCAUAUGCAUUCAAAAUGGGUCCUAAAGAAGACAAUUUAAUUUCCUCUGUAAGUCUCUUCUUUAUAACGAAAAUUAAAUUAAAAUUAAAUUUCAAUAAAAAACACUAAAAUUGAUCAUUAAUCUUUCGAAUGUAAGCAUUUGAUUUUGAAUUAUACAGGUGUUUCAUUGUGAAAGUAACAACAUUACUAUCACAUUAUUAGUGUCAAAUAUUUAUUUCAGAUUUAAAAUAUGAGGACAACAAAAGAGAAAUUUAUCAAAGUUUAGGAACUAUCAAUGUAUUUUAGUUAAUAAUAUUUAUCUAAAAGAGCACAUCACUAAUAUACUACUAAUAUACUAGCAUCUUUUCUUUUCUUUUCUUUUCUUUUCUUUUCUUUUUCUUUUUUUUUGUGGGGCUUUUAAUAUGACAUGGCAAAUCACAAAAGGAAAGGAAAUGAAAUGGGAAAGACAUUCAGCACCCACUACCUCCCUAUGGAUUUUAUUUUAUCUUUAAAAAAAAUAAUGCAAAUCUUACACUUUUUUUUAAUCCAAAGUUCUUUAUUAAGCCUUUAUUUUUAUCAAAAAAAAAAAUUAAAAAAAUUAAAAAUUUAAAGAGUUUUAAAAUCCUAGAGUGAAGAGCUGAAACACUUACAUCCCUUUUCGGACGUACCAAUAGCAUUUAUCUUUAAAAUUAUUAUUCAAGUUUAAAAAUGAGAUAAAAUUAUCUGCACAACACAAUUCUGUGACAAAAGAACAACACCAGAGAGGGUUAUGUGACAUCCCAAUAGUUUCGUCGCAUCAAACGGAAAAGAAAUUAUACAUGAGAAUGUAAGGAUCAUGAAUUUUAAUACUAAUAACUGAUUAUUACUGCUAGCAGGUUAGGUCAUCACAUUUGGUGCCAAAUUGCCAGUCGACAAUAUGAGAUAGAACACACAUCGUGCAGUGAUUUUGGACUGGAAAAUGAAACCUAACGAUAAUACUCAUAACUAAACUUAAACAUUUUGGACCAGCAAAUUGUUAGUAAGUACUUGUAAGCUGAGUCAUUACAAUUUAUAUAAAACAAAAAUAAAUUGUUCAAGUAUUCCUAUAUUAGCUGAUCUCAAAUUGCUCUAAAGGUUAGAUAGGUGGAAAGCUUUUUUGCUGUCAUUUAUUGAACACCAGAAGAACAGAAUUAGUACUGCACAAGCAAAUCUAACAAGAUACUAAUUCCCAUAUUAUAAUAUAUUGAUCCUAAACCCCAGAGGCCACCACAAAAUUAGUGGAAUCCCUUGCUUUCCAACUUUGAUAGUGGGCCAAAAACAAAUUCCUCAACAAUGAACACAAUGCAUAUAUAUAUACAAGUUGGUUACUCCAUUAUUUGCUUCAUUGAACAUACCAUUCCUUGUUAAAUUCCCCAACCACCCCCCCUUUCUCCAGCUACUCACACAAGAGGAACCAGCCACUGAGAAGUUGAGGAUCUUCAGAUUUCAGGUGUUGUAAUGUUGAUAGAUACAUUCCCUUGGUUGAGAUUUUGCCCUGUUUUUUUUGUGUUGGUGUUCUUUUUUGGGCCAUUUGCUACUGAAUUAUCACAAAUUGCACUAACUUUUAGAAUAACUUCAUCUCUGUCUAAUUGGCUCAUCAUUCUGAUCACCAUUCUGCAACUCAAGAGUAAAGUUAGGCUUUUUUUCUCAACUCCUUCCACCUUUUACUAAUUAAUUUGAAUUCCUAAGUAGGUUGCCAACAUGAAGAACAUGCUCCCUCUUUCUCUCUCUAUACAAUAUCAGUGAGAACAACCAACCCCUCUCACCCUCUUUCUCUCUUAAUUGUUUUUCUUUUGCUAUGACAUUUUGAUACUAAGCCAAUCAGUCACCUUCUCUUCCCAAUUCCACUCUAAGAAAAAGUCCGAAUCAAAUUUAAAUUUGAUUUUAUGUUUUUAACCUUUUUUUUGGGCUUAUUGUGUGUACAGGGAGGGCUUAGGAUGGGGGGAAAUGAAACUGGGGAGAGCACAACAACAUCAACAGCAACAGCAACAACAACAACAAGAGAGGUGAAGUAUCAGAAGAGCUACUUUGAUGUUUUGGGGAUCUGUUGCCCUUCAGAAGUGCCCCUAGUAGAGAAAAUAUUGAGGCCAUUAGAAGGGGUUCAGAAGGUCUCAGUGAUAGUUCCUUCAAAGACUGUUAUAGUUGUGCAUGAUGGCAGCCUCAUCUCCCCUGUUCAGAUUGGUAUGCAUGAAUCUCUCUCUUGUUCAGUCUGGGGUCUUCUUUAUCUGUCUAAAGAGCUCAAGUUGGCUUGUUAGUUAAGUUUUACUGCACAAGAAGUUAACCUAAAAAAUAAAAAGAAAAAAGAAAAAAGGGGGAGAGAGAGAGAGAGAGAAAGUGAGAAGUUUGAGUAAUUUUUGUAUUUGGUCAGUUAUAUCCAUCAAAUCGAUCUUUCCAGUAACAUAGUAUCAAACCAAGUUCUAAGAUCCACGGAUCCAAAUAUUAACAAUAUUUAGUUAUAAUGUUUAGCAUGGCCGAUGUGAUCUCCAGCGUGCAAGUGAGCAUGAAUGUUAAGACUAUUCUCAGGCAUUUCCUAUCAGAUUAAUUUGUUUGCUGACCGAAAAUAGCUCCCGAGAGGCUUCCCUACUCAAAAAGUAGAAGCCAAUUAGCAACCAAAAAAGAUUCGGGUUCAAAAAAUUACAAGCGACCCUAAAAGAGCUCACACUAAUCAAAAUAACAUUUCUACAGAAACUCAAGCCACACCAAAAGAAAAAAUAGUCCCAAGACAACCAAACAAGCUUUUUUAUGUUAUUCAAUGAGGCUUUGGUUUGGAGGUCUCCAAAGUAGAAGAAUUUGGUUAAGGCUCUCUAGAGGAAAAGAUCAUCAAAUAAUUAAAUAUUUGGUUUUUUUGAUGAACCUCACUGUUGGGACCAAACAAGCACCACAAAGACCUCUAACUGCACCAAAAGCUUGAUUUUUUGAAAGCUACUGGACCUGCACAUUUAAGUUUGGCAGAUGUUACAACUUAUUUAAUCAUUAGGUAGUCAUUUUCCAGGGCUCUAUAAUUAAUUUUGAAGAGAAAAAAAAUUAAGUGGGAAGAGGGGGUAGAUGAAGAGCAUUAAUUGAAAUCUAAAAAUAUCCUUGGUUAUAUGGUCUCUCUCUCUAUUCUUGACUAUUGGCUAAGUUGCCUGAAUCUUUUACCUGCAGUGUUUCACUUGAAUUGAUGUUCUAAACAGUGUAAUCCAUAAAAAUGAAUUGUAAUAUGCACUGCUUAGUAGAUCGGCAUUUGAAUCCAUGAAUCACCCUUUGAUCUGAUUUUAACUUUCAUCAGUCAAGGCUCUAAACCAAGCCAGGCUCGAAGCCUCGAUUCGAGCUUACGGGGGCGGCAGAAUCAUCAACAAAUGGCCGAGCCCGUAUAUAAUUGCGAGCGGUCUGCUGCUUCUCGUCUCGCUGUUCAAGCGAUUCUUCCGUCCCCUGCAAUGGCUAGCCUUGGCAGCAGUCGUGGUCGGGCUGCCGCCGAUAGUAUUGAGAAGCAUCGCCGCCAUUCGGAGAUUAACUCUGGAUAUCAACAUUCUCUUACUGAUUGCAGGUACAGGACCUCAUCCUUUGAUUCCCCUUAAAGGCUUUAUGAUGACAUCUUAAGUGCAAUUUGGUACUACUUAUCUUCUAAUAAAAGAACACAUUCCAAAGAACAAUGAAAAGCAUAGGAUUCUAUUUCUAGGGAUCUAGGGGUGCAUAAAUUGCUCAGGUUAAGCACAAACAAGACAAUUCCCCAUUGCACUUUAGCUCCGGUCUCAAUUACCCCCACUGCAUAAAAGAAAUCGCAUCAAUUACCCUUCCACAUUUUAUCAUUAUCUCAAACAGGUCCAGGUAUUUACGAUAAUUGUUGAAUUCAGUUAUAAAACUUUGUAAAAAGAAAUGUGCAGUUAAAGUUAUCUAUCAGUAAUGCAGUAGAAUCUUAUAAAAUGAAUAAAUUUCUCAAUAAACUAUCAAUUUUGAUAGUAUUAGUAAAAUAAUAGAUAUCCUUUAUCUAGAUUUUUUUAUAUAAUUUUUAAGUUAUAAAUUGGAUAUAUGUUGAGAUACAGAACAAUGUGAUAUCCCAGUUCGUUUUAGUAAAGUUUUAUAGCCUAAUUUCCGAAUUGUUUAAAUUUUUUAGAUCUAUUUAAGAUGAUAAUCAAGCGUAGGGUGACAUUUUAAUGUGGUGGGGUAAUUAAGACAAGCACUAAAAUGCAAUGAGGCUUUUUAUUAUUUACCCAUGUUUUUUCCACAAUAAAUGAUGGGAAAACUUCAAAAAACCCCCCUGUGGUUUGGUAGUUUCUCACUUUGUCCCCCUGUGGUUUAAAGUGUAUUAAUUUGCCCCCCUGUGGUUUCGUUUUUAUCUUUUCGGUAGCUUUUUCGUUAAUAUUUCAUUAAAUUAUAUACAAAAAACUUCAGAUACCCAUCUAGAUUUAUCAAAUAUUCACUUUAGUACCCUUUAAUUUUAACUUUAUCACUGAUUUAAGAAAAAAAAAUAAUGAAAUUGAUAAGAAAAAGAGAAAAAAGAAACCACAGGGGGGCAAAUUGAUACAUUUUAAACCACAGGGGGGCAAAGUGAGAAACUAUGAAACCACAGGGGGGUUUUUUGAAGUUUUCCCAUAAAUGAUUAAACACAUCAUGCACUUUUCUUAUUUUCCUUCUAAGAAAAAUAAUUAUUUAGAAGGUACUAAAGAUGCUAUUAAGAUUAUGGUAUUGGAGAGCAAGGUUGUCAUUAGCUCCAUAAUGUUAAAGUUAAUGAUUCUGCAACAAAAAUAAAGAAUUCCAAGUUGAGCAUAGUAGGAAUCACUACAAACACAAGUCACAAUUAAGGGUGGACCAAUCCAUGAUGCAAAAAGAGAUCACUUUUACUUUUUUUUUAAAUGCAAAAAAUGUAGAAAAACCUAGUAUUGCACUCUUAACAUAAUUAAGAAAGGGGGAUAAUCUUAAUCUCAGGUGAGAUUCAUACUUUUAAAAUCUAAAACCUAUAAAAAAUAUAUAUAUAUAUCAAGUUUCAUAUCCAACUUAAACCUAAAAAACCCGAAUUCGACAGAACUAUAAGAUCCGUGUCAAGAUCCGAACCUAAUUAGUGGUUAGCUAUGAGAUCCAUGUUAGGAUCAAACCUAAUUGCACAUCAUCCUCUUAAGUUAUUUUUCUUAAAGUAUGAUUAAAUAACCUUGUAAAUGGAACGCAUUAUCCUAAACAAUCAUGACUAUACGGGUUUUAUAGCUGAUUAAAAAGAAAAUGUUUGUGCAACAAAAGUCAUCAUUUGAUCAAAUUUUUAUUAACUAAAUAUUUUGUAAGAUCAUAUAACUAGCAGGGAUACAAUAGUAGCCAAAACUCGUAAGACGAAUACCUUGGGGGGUUAGGUCUCGGAAAGCCAACCAAGAAAUCUGAGGUUCAAAGUUUGAAACUUACUGUACCUAGCGCGGUUGGCUAAGGGCUUGAUGGUCGGUACCCAAGGUUCCAAGUUCGAAGCUUAGUUGCUUCACAUUUCUAACUACAUUUAUUUCUAAAAUAAAAAGAAAAUAAAAGAAGCAGUAGCUUGCAAUCUUUAAUAAGCUGUAGAAUGUUGUGUCAGGUGUGGGACUCACAGACAAGUCUAAAAAAAAUAAAUAAAAGUGAAGUAGCUCCAAGCUGGAGAACUACACCACUUAGGGGGGGCUCCCAAUUGCUCUAUCUGCGAUUUUCCUAUCUCCUAUAUUGAAAUUUUUUUUUAUACUUUUUUCACUUUACUAGAUGAAAUUUCAACAUGAAAUCAUAGUCUUUCAAUCGAAGAAAAAAAUUACCUUAGUCUUCCAUUUCUAGACCGUUCUAUUCCAGUAGUUCGACCGUCAAAUUUUAUUUGUUUUGCUAUUUUCAGAAUACGGAAUGUGACUUACUAUUAUUGAUCUAAUUGAUAAUACAUGGAAUGGACCUGUUAUCUCUAUCAAGAUGAGCUCAUGAUAUGCUCAGGUUCAUGGAAUAACUGUCAAUGGGUGCCUGUCAUUUGUGAUUUGCUUGCCUUGGUGGAAUGGGAAUAGUCCAACCUUUAAAGUUAUAAUACAUAUAUAGAGAGAGAGAGAGACCACAUGAGACACUUCUAAUAGCACCAAGCAUAUGGUGCUUUUUCGCCAUUAAAUUUACCCUUUGAUCAAUUCUAUCUUUUAAAUCAUGCUAUACCAACCAACAAUCAAACCCUAGAAGACCACUAUCAUUUCAACCCUAUAAUUUUUCACCCAAUAGUUAUAAAUUUGGUAGUAAAAAGACACGAAUACUAUUAAAAAAUAUUCUAAGUCAAUUAUAUAUAUCACCUUUUGGAGUGCUCAACUUGAGUUUUAUUAAAGAGGGUUUGUUCCCUCUAUAUAGAUACUGUGGUUAAGUACCACAACGUAAUUUCCCAACACCAAGAGGUUUGGAUUCCAAUAUUCCAACAUGUUGAAAGCACAAAAUGAUUUUAUUUUCUCUUUUUUAUUUCUUGGUAUGGAAUAAUUAACAUAAGGUGUGGCAUAACUAUCAACUGCACUAGCAGUAAAGGACAAAGUCUGAGAGAUGCUUACCCUACUUGCGUGAAUAAUUUUAGUGUAAAAAUGUACUGAGAUCCCCUCAACUAUUAGUCAUUUUGAUCUUUAGAUUAUUUUUCCAAAUUCGGCUUUAUAUGCAAUAAAAUUAAGGAUUGAUGACAUCUAAAUUCCAUCUGCUAAAAUGUAAUCUAAACUUUUAAAUUCAACAAAAUGAUUGUUAACUUUAGUAAAUUUUUAGAUUAAUCAAUAAAAAUAACUUAACCAAAGAAAUUAAAUAUUGAAGGGACAUAAAAAAAAAAAAGAAAAUAGUUGAGGGGUCUCUGUACAUUUUUAUCUCAUAAUAAUUCAUAUCUUUCAAACUUUCACUUCCACAUAUAUUGCCAUGUGAUAAAGAUUAAUUGUUUAUUUGAUUUGCUUCAUUUUUUUGGGUCCUAGUAAGAGAUAAAUUUUUUAAAGUUAAGAUUAAAUUAUGGUUUUUCUUGUUUCUUAAAUUAUGUGUAUUUGGCAGUGGGUGGAGCAAUUGCUCUCAGGGACUACUCAGAAGCAGGGUUUAUUGUGUUUCUCUUUGCCACAGCUGAAUGGUUGGAAACAGUGGCAAGUCACAAGGUCUCUAUCAAUCUCUCUCCCUCUCUCUCUCAAUCGCACACACACACACACACACACUUUUAAUUUCUUUUUUUUUUUUUGGUAAAAAUGUAUGGAGACCCUCUCAACUAUAGGCAGUUCUGAAAGUGACCCCCAACUUCAAUUUUUCUAAUUUACACCCCCUUUAAUUUUUUUUUUUCAAUUGAAUUACUCUAGUUAUUUAACUUAAAAAUCUUGUUAAAUUUAAUGGCUUAAUUAGCUAUUACCAGUUGAUUAAUCAAGCUUUAUUCCUCACACUCUUCUAAGGCCUAGUUUGAUAACAUAGUAACUAAAAGUGCAAGAGCACUUUUAAUCUUUUUUCCUCUACAGGCUUCUCCAUCAGCCGUUUACUCUAAUAAAAGAUUCAGCUAGCAUAAAACAAUAAUUUGACAGGAAGUAAAAAGCCUAUACUUGAGCUUUUAAACUAAUCAGUUGUUUUAUAAUAAUAGGCACAUUAAUGUAGAGACUAUCAACUGUAGAGUCAGUAAAACCAAUCUACACAAUAUAAGAAUUUUUUUAUUAAUAUUCUUAAAAAUUAUUAUAAUUAUAAAAAUAGUUCUUUAAAAAAAUUAUUUAUAAAACUAGUCUUACACAAUAAAUGAAUUACUGAUUUCUAAAUGCGAUAAAUUAUCCACCGCUUUCUAUAAAAUAUUAAAAUUACUUUUAGCGUUUAAUGUCAUACAUCUUAUUUUUUGUAGUUCGACCAUAAAAAAUAUAGUGUAGAGCUACUAUGCUAUCAGAAGCAUAAAAGGUUUUAUGUUUUCGACUUUUUGACUCUUGGAUCAAAAAUUGUACAGUUGGGAUGAUUGUGGUCCCCCCUAGGAUUGAGGUAGCACUAGGGUGUCAAACGGCCGGGCGGCCGCGAGUCCGCCCGGCCGGCACGAGAGUGGGCGCGGGCCAGGCACGGCACGAGUACUGUAGCGGGCCGUGCCGGCCCGACCCGGCCAGUCAAAUCGGGUCGUGCUGGGCCUUGCUCCUGUGGCUUGAUGGCCCGGCACGGCCGCGGCACGACCCGAGCCUGGCCGUGCCGGGCCUGAGAGUUUACCUUGCCGGCGGCGCGGCAUGACACGCCCGACCCAUGUGGCAGGGUCUUCGAGCCGGGCCCAGGCAUGGACUUGGGUACGACGGCCUUACCCAACUCCCAAGGCCCUGUACUACCCAACUCCCAAUGCAUUGGGAGUUGGGCUUUGGGGCUCUCCCAAGGUCUGUGAUAAUAGAUCCUUGGGAGUUGGUUUGGACCAAAAUCCCUCCAACAGUCAAAUUUUUGAUUGUGGGAAGGGCAUUUUGUUCCAAAAAUUUAAAAUUAAAAUAAUUUAAAAUUUUAAUAUUUUGUAAAUAUAUUUUAAAAUUUUAAUUUUUUAUUGAUAUAUAAUUUUUAAAAAUAAUAUUUUUAUUUUUAUUUUAAAAAAAAAUUAAAAUUUUUUAAAUAAAAUUAAUAAAAUAAAAAAAAGGGCUGGCCCGAAGCCGCCCAGCCAGGCACGGCUAGGGGUGGCAAUCUCAGCUCGCUGUUCGCGAGCCAGCUCGUGUUCGGCUCGAAAUGAGCUCGAGAUCGGCUCGCUCAUUUAGUAAACGAGCCGAACACGAGCCGGAUUUUUCAGCUCUUUAAUAAACGAGCCGAACACGAGCUAGGGUCAGCUCGCUCGCGUUCGGCUCGAUAACAGCUCGAUUUUAUUUAUUUUAUAUUAGUAUAAUUUUUUUAUAUUAUAAUAUAUAUAUAAUUAUAUUUGUAUAUAAAUAUAUAAUACAGAUUAUUAAUUUUAAAAUUUUAGCCAUUCUAAAUGGAUUAUCUUGGGCCUAAUCUUGGUUUGGGCCACGAUGCUAGAGAGAGAGAGACCGACUCAGGAUGCUAUAGAUGGAUUAUCUUGGGCCUUAUCUUGGACCCGACUCAGGAUGUGGAGUCGGGUCCGACGAUGUUACAGAGAGAGACCACAGACCAGCUACCCGAUAGCCGGUUCCAGGUGCGGAUUCGGGCUCGGGAAGCGCUACAGUGAGGAAGCGCGGACCCGUUGCCCGAAACCCCACUCUCCUUUAGAUUACGCCGCCGCCUUGUCCCAUUCUUCACCUUGGAUCCUCCCAUGUCUCACCCAUGUCUCACCGCCGCCUUGUCCCAUUCUUCACCUUGGAUCCU